ACGAACGCUGGCGGCGUGCUUAACACAUGCAAGUCGAACGGAAAGGCCCCUUUGGGGGUCCUCGAGUGGCGAACGGGUGAGUAACACGUGAGUAACCUGCCCUUGACUUCGGGAUAACUUCAGGAAACUGGGGCUAAUACCGGAUAGGAAUCCUUGCUGCAUGGUGGGGGUUGGAAAGCUUCGGCGGUUUUGGAUGGACUCGCGGCUUAUCAGCUUGUUGGUGGGGUAGUGGCUUACCAAGGCUUUGACGGGUAGCCGGCCUGAGAGGGCGACCGGCCACAUUGGGACUGAGAUACGGCCCAGACUCCUACGGGAGGCAGCAGUGGGGAAUAUUGCACAAUGGGCGGAAGCCUGAUGCAGCAACGCCGCGUGCGGGAGGACGGCCUUCGGGUUGUAAACCGCUUUCAGCAGGGGCGAAGCUUGUGGUGACGGUACCUGCAGAAGAAGCACCGGCUAACUACGUG
This 464-nucleotide ribosomal RNA is filed under the name uncultured bacterium. RNAcentral's name for it is "partial 16S ribosomal RNA". It matches the Rfam family "Bacterial small subunit ribosomal RNA", at positions 29 to 507 of the family's 1533-position model. The record is from RNAcentral.